GAAAGCAUCGUUCAGGUCCAAGA
Molecule: unclassified non-coding RNA, 23 nt
Filed under: Mus musculus (house mouse)
Lineage: Eukaryota; Metazoa; Chordata; Mammalia; Rodentia; Muridae
Description: oocyte_clustered_small_RNA13171
Source: RNAcentral